Molecule: long non-coding RNA, 1045 nt
Filed under: Felis catus (domestic cat)
Lineage: Eukaryota; Metazoa; Chordata; Mammalia; Carnivora; Felidae
Description: lncRNA (ENSFCAG00000051248.1)
Source: RNAcentral
UUCUCCAGGGGCCCGCACCCUCAGGCUCUUCCUUCUUUCUGUUGUAGUCCUUUUUCCAGAAACAGUUGCAGUUAAGAGAUGCCUGGCUGGAUCCUUUGGCCUUUAAACCCACGGGCCUGGGCAUCAGCCCAGCUGACCGUAGAAUUCCUCUCGGUCUUCUUGCCCAGGGGACUGGUUCACACGGAGUCAAAUGAUGGCAAGCCAGGAGUCAACCAGACGGCAGGACAGAGUUUUCCCAGGACUCGAUACUCUAGGGCCCCUCCUGUCUUUCCGUGCACUGGACAUCAGACAUCGGAGGAGGUGGCGGCCUUCGGCCAAGAUCGCCCCCAAACGCUGGACAACUUUUUGGAGUUGCCUAUAUACCAAGGAGGGAAAAAUCUCAGACUUCCCUUUAUUUCCACUCAAAUUAAAUUUGAAGGUUCGCUCAUAUUUCUGUUCCCUACUGUUGUUCAGUUUUACUGCUCUAUCAUAUCCCAACGUCUAAAUAUGCCAUAAUUCACGUAUCUGUUUAUCUAUUUCUGUUGCCAGGAUUUGGACUGUUGCCAACAUUUUAAUACUCGCAAUGGUGCUGCCAUGAACAUUCUGGUAAUACCUACGACAAGAAAUGCUGGUAUGUGAGACAUGUAGGGGCUCGGCCCCAUGAGACAAUGCCAAAAUGCUUUCCGAAACAGCAAUAUAAUUUCAAGAGAAAAAAAAAGAGAGUCCAAAAAAAGUAUACAAACUCUCUGCAUUCUCUUCUCAAUUUUUCUGGAAAUUGAAAACCAUUCUAAAACUUCAUUUUUUUUUCCUUAAAUUAUACAGCGUGGGGGGCCCCUGUGUGGCACAGUCUGUUGAGCAUCUGACCUCGGCUCAGGUCAUGAUCUCGCGGUUCGUGGGUUCGAGCCCCGCGUCGGGCUCUGUGCUGACAGCUCGGAGCGUGGAGCCCGCUUCGGGUUCUGUGUCUCCCUCUCUCUCUCUCUCUGCCCCUCCCCUGCUUGUGUGCUCACGCUCUCUCUCUCUCUCUCUCUAAAAUAAAUAAACUUUAAAAUAAGUAAAUAAUAAAAUU